UACGAAGGGGGCUAGCGUUGCUCGGAAUGACUGGGCGUAAAGGGCGCGCAGGCGGUCAAAUAAGUCAGAUGUGAAAUUCCGGGGCUCAACCCCGGAGCUGCAUUUGAAACUAUUUGACUAGAGUUCAGUUAGGGAAACGGAAUUCCACGUGUAGCGGUGAAAUGCGUAGAUAUGUGGAAGAACACCGGUGGUGAAGACGGUUUCUGGGCUGAGACUG
Molecule: ribosomal RNA, 217 nt
Filed under: uncultured bacterium
Lineage: Bacteria
Description: partial 16S ribosomal RNA
Rfam family: Bacterial small subunit ribosomal RNA
Source: RNAcentral